This 433-nucleotide ribosomal RNA is filed under the name uncultured bacterium. Its description in RNAcentral is "partial 16S ribosomal RNA". It matches the Rfam family "Bacterial small subunit ribosomal RNA", at positions 29 to 507 of the family's 1533-position model. The record is from RNAcentral.
AGCGAACGCUGGCGGCAGGCCUAACACAUGCAAGUCGAACGAACUCUUCGGAGUUAGUGGCGGACGGGUGAGUAACACGUGGGAACGUGCCUUUUGGUUCGGAAUAACUCAGGGAAACUUGUGCUAAUACCGAAUGUGCCCUUCGGGUGAAAGAUUUAUCGCCAUUAGAGCGGCCCGCGUCUGAUUAGCUAGUUGGUGAGGUAACGGCUCACCAAGGCGACGAUCAGUAGCUGGUCUGAGAGGAUGACCAGCCACACUGGGACUGAGACACGGCCCAGACUCCUACGCGAGGCAGCAGUGGGGAAUCUUGCGCAAUGGGGGAAAGCCUGACGCAGCCAGGCCGCGUGAAUGAUGAAGGUCUUAGGAAUGUAAAAUUCUUUCACCGGGGACGAUAAUGACGGUACCCGGAGAAGAAGCCCCGGCUAACUUCGUG